RNAcentral lists this ribosomal RNA (253 nucleotides) under uncultured bacterium. Its description in RNAcentral is "partial 16S ribosomal RNA". It matches the Rfam family "Bacterial small subunit ribosomal RNA", at positions 524 to 776 of the family's 1533-position model. The record is from RNAcentral.
UACGGAGGAGACAAGCGUUAUCCGGAAUUAUUGGGCGUAAAGCGUCCGUAGGUGGCACUUCAAGUCUGCGGUCAAAGACCGGGGCUUAACCCUGGAAAGGCCGUGGAAACUGAAGUGCUAGAGUGCAGUAGGGGUAGAGGGAAUUCCCGGUGUAGCGGUGAAAUGCGUAGAGCUCGGGAAGAACAUCGGUGGCGAAAGCGCUCUACUGGACUGCAACUGACACUGAGGGACGAAAGCUAGGGGAGCGAAUGGG